Molecule: ribosomal RNA, 389 nt
Filed under: uncultured bacterium
Lineage: Bacteria
Description: bacterial SSU rRNA
Rfam family: Bacterial small subunit ribosomal RNA
Source: RNAcentral
AUUGAACGCUGGCGGCAUGCUUUACACAUGCAAGUCGAACGGCAGCACGGGGGCUUGCUCCUGGUGGCGAGUGGCGAACGGGUGAGUAAUGCAUCGGAACGUACCCAGUAGUGGGGGGAUAGCCCGACGAAAGCCGGAUUAAUACCGCAUAUUUCCUGAGGGAGAAAGCGGGGGACCUUCGGGCCUCGCGCUACUGGAGCGGCUGAUGUCGGAUUAGCUAGUUGGUGAGGUAAAGGCUCACCAAGGCGACGAUCCGUAGCUGGUCUGAGAGGAUGAUCAGCCACACUGGGACUGAGACACGGCCCAGACUCCUACGGGAGGCAGCAGUGGGGAAUUUUGGACAAUGGGGGCAACCCUGAUCCAGCCAUGCCGCGUGAGUGAAGAAGGCC